GAUGGAACAUGACGCUUGCAGCGACGCCUACGCAUGCCUUCCUCUUCAGUUGUAGGCACAAGCGCUACCUAGCCUUGGCCGACACCCGGGUUUCCUGUGUUUCAUACCUACUAGAUGGAAUUGGACCGUAAAUCAUCGAACGAUCGCCUAAUGCCACCCUCGCUUCGUUGGUGGUUGCGGGUGAUCCGCUAAGCGAGAUUUGUGAUCCUCGGCGCACGAGUCCUAGACCUUGCCGCCGAGGCCCACGCUUCUUUGCUCGGACUGAGGGAUUCGGAAAAUAUGGUUGGCAUGGGGUCUUUGUGACCUCUAUUUGCCGCACAAAACGAAAAACAUUCGAACGACGCCCGAUGGUGCGCUGGCCUUUGUGGCCGCGCACCUCGAUGUCCGUGAGGAAUGCUACCU
RNAcentral lists this unclassified non-coding RNA (402 nucleotides) under Galium bungei var. trachyspermum. Its description in RNAcentral is "partial external transcribed spacer". Lineage: Eukaryota; Viridiplantae; Streptophyta; Magnoliopsida; Gentianales; Rubiaceae. The record is from RNAcentral.